GACGAACGCUGGCGGCGUGCUUAACACAUGCAAGUCGAACGAAGAGCGAUGGAAGCUUGCUUCUAUCAAUCUUAGUGGCGCACGGGUGAGUAACGCGUAAUCAACCUGCCCUUCAGAGGGGGACAACAGUUGGAAACGACUGCUAAUACCGCAUACGAUCUAACCUCGGCAUCGAGGAUGGAUGAAAGGUGGCCUCUAUUUAUAAGCUAUCACUGCAGGAGGGGAUUGCGUCUGAUUAGCUAGUUGGAGGGGUAACGGCCCACCAAGGCGAUGAUCAGUAGCCGGUCUGGGAGGAUGAACGGCCACAUUGGGACUGAGACACGGCCCAGACUCCUACGGGAGGCAGCAGUGGGGAAUCUUCCGCAAUGGACGAAAGUCUGACGGAGCAACGCCGCGUGAGUGAUGACGGCCUUCGGGUUGUAAAGCUCUGUUAAUCGGGACGAAAGGCCUUCUUGCGAAUAGUUAGAAGGAUUGACGGUACCGGAAUAGAAAGCCACGGCUAACUACGUG
Molecule: ribosomal RNA, 510 nt
Filed under: uncultured bacterium
Lineage: Bacteria
Description: partial 16S ribosomal RNA
Rfam family: Bacterial small subunit ribosomal RNA
Source: RNAcentral